UAUAUAUAUUAGGAAUUCUCUUAUCCUAUUCGGAAGGAUAUCAUUUCAUAAUUAUGUAUGACUGUUUAGGUCUCUAGUAUGACUGACUACUUGAUCAAAUGUGGAGGAAAGUGGGAUAAAUAGCCAAUACUACUGGAAGAAUUCCUCUUUGGAUAAUAUGUAUUGUAGCUGGUAUUGUUGUGAUCGGUUUAAUUGGUAUUUUCUUUUAUGGUUCAUAUUCCGGAUUGGGAUCAUCCCUGUAAUAAUCGCAUGAAUUUCGUUUUCGAAAUGAAAGCAUAAGAACUA
RNAcentral lists this long non-coding RNA (285 nucleotides) under Lathyrus oleraceus (garden pea). Its description in RNAcentral is "Pisum sativum (pea) long non-coding RNA (PSAT_LNC019052)". Lineage: Eukaryota; Viridiplantae; Streptophyta; Magnoliopsida; Fabales; Fabaceae. The record is from RNAcentral.